GAUGAACGCUGGCGGCGUGCCUAAUACAUGCAAGUCGAGCGAACAGACGAGGAGCUUGCUCCUCUGACGUUAGCGGCGGACGGGUGAGUAACACGUGGAUAACCUACCUAUAAGACUGGGAUAACUUCGGGAAACCGGAGCUAAUACCGGAUAAUAUAUUGAACCGCAUGGUUCAAUAGUGAAAGACGGUUUUGCUGUCACUUAUAGAUGGAUCCGCGCCGCAUUAGCUAGUUGGUAAGGUAACGGCUUACCAAGGCAACGAUGCGUAGCCGACCUGAGAGGGGGGUCGGGCCCACUGGGACUUGAACGCGGUCCAGACUUCGAAGGGAGGGCGCCGUGGGGAAUCUUCCGGCAAUGGCGGAAGCCCGACGGAGGAACGCCGCGGGGGUGACGAAGGUCUUCGGAUCGUAAAACCCUUGUAUUAGGGGAGAACCAAUGUGGAAGGUACUAUGCACGGCCUGACGGGACCUAAUCAGAAAGCCACGGCUAACUACGUG
RNAcentral lists this ribosomal RNA (497 nucleotides) under uncultured bacterium. RNAcentral's name for it is "partial 16S ribosomal RNA". It matches the Rfam family "Bacterial small subunit ribosomal RNA", at positions 28 to 507 of the family's 1533-position model. The record is from RNAcentral.